Molecule: ribosomal RNA, 1253 nt
Filed under: Triatoma rubida
Lineage: Eukaryota; Metazoa; Arthropoda; Insecta; Hemiptera; Reduviidae
Description: 16S ribosomal RNA
Rfam family: Bacterial large subunit ribosomal RNA (bases 820-1183)
Source: RNAcentral
AAUUACACUUUUAUUUUUAUUUUUAGUUCUAAUUUUUUAAUAGAAACAACUUAGUUUAGAGUAUAUUUUAUUGAAAUAAUAAUUUUAUUGAUAGUUAAAGAGUACUGUGAAGGGUUAAGUUAUUAUAUUUAGAAGUAGUUUUUAUUUAGCGUACCUUUUGUAUCAGGGUUGAUUAAUUUAUUGUACUUAUAGUACUUUUCCCGAAAUUAGGAGAGUUAUAAUUAAACGUAAGUCGAUGUGUCAAAAUUGUUUAUAAUUUAAUUAUGGUGAUGAAAUGUUAUUCGUUCUUAAAUAUCUGGUUUUCUUGGAAUUAAAUUUAAUUUAGGAUUUCUUUAUAUAAAAAAUAAUUAUAUUUUUAUUAUUUAGGAAAUCAAAUAUUCUUGGGGAUAAGCUCGAGAAUAAUUAUAUAAGUAGUUAUAUUGAUUUGGAAUUUAGUAGGCUUGAGAUCAGCCAUCAUUAAUCUCGUUAUAGAGUAUUUCUAUAAGUUAUUUAUUUAAUUUUCUUUAUUUGUUUACUUGAAUUAUUUAAUUAAUUUUAUAUUUAAUGUAAUAAUGAUUAAAUUAGUAUUUUUGUUAAUUAAGUUAUAGGAACUCGGCAAAUAUAGUGCCCGCCUGUUUAACAAAAACAUGUCCUUUUGUUUUUAUUUAAGGUCUGACCUGCCCAAUGAGGAAUUCAAUGGCCGCAGUAUUUUAACUGUGCUAAGGUAGCAUAAUCAUUUGUCUUUUAAUUGAGGGCUGGAAUGAAAGGUUGGACGAGGUAUUAGCUUUCUUUAAUUUAGUUUUAUGAAUUUAAUUUUUGAGUUAAAAAGCUUAAAUUUAUUUGUUGGACGAGAAGACCCUAUAGAUCUUUAUAAUUUUAUAUUCUAAUAAUUUAGGGAUUAUCUUAUUUAGAGUAAAAGAAUUAUUUUGUUGGGGUGACUGUAGAAUUUUUUAAACUUCUAUUUAUUGUUAUCAUUUAUUUAUGUUUAUUUGAUCCAUAAUUUAUGAUUAGAAGAUUAAGUUACCUUAGGGAUAACAGCGUAAUUUCUUCGGAGAGUUCAUAUUGAUGAAGAAGUUUGCGACCUCGAUGUUGGAUUAAAAUGAGUAGUGGAUGCAGGAGUUUACUUACUAGGUCUGUUCGACCUUUAAAUUUUUACAUGAUCUGAGUUCAGACCGGCGUGAGCCAGGUCAGUUUCUAUCCUCAAAAUAGCUAAUAAGCUUUAGUACGAAAGGACCAGGCUUAUGGAAUAAUUUUUAUUUAUUUUGAUUAAUAUU